GUGUCAGCCGCCGCGGUAAUACGGAGGGUGCAAGCGUUAAUCGGAAUUACUGGGCGUAAAGCGUGUGUAGGUGGUUCGUUAAGUCGGAUGUGAAAGCCCCGGGCUCAACCUGGGAACUGCAUUCGAUACUGACGGACUAGAGUUUAGCAGAGGAAAGCGGAAUUCCGGGUGUAGCGGUGAAAUGCGUAGAUAUCCGGAGGAACACCAGUGGCGAAGGCGGCUUUCUGGGUUAAAACUGACACUGAGGCACGAAAGCGUGGGUAGCAAACAGGAUUAGAUACCCUGUUAGUCCACGCCCUAAACGAUGUCGACUGGCUGUCGGGUUCAUUUGGAACUUGGUAGCGAAGCUAACGCGUUAAUUCGACCGCCUGGGGAGUACGGCCGCAAGGUUGAAACUCAAACGAAUUGGCGGGG
This 414-nucleotide ribosomal RNA is filed under the name uncultured prokaryote. RNAcentral describes it as "bacterial SSU rRNA". It matches the Rfam family "Bacterial small subunit ribosomal RNA", at positions 505 to 918 of the family's 1533-position model. The record is from RNAcentral.